RNAcentral lists this ribosomal RNA (301 nucleotides) under uncultured bacterium. RNAcentral describes it as "partial 16S ribosomal RNA". It matches the Rfam family "Bacterial small subunit ribosomal RNA", at positions 509 to 807 of the family's 1533-position model. The record is from RNAcentral.
CAGUCGCCGCGGUAAUGCGUAGGGCGCAAGCGUUAAUCGGAAUUACUGGGCGUAAAGCGUGCGCAGGCGGUUCUAUAAGACAGAUGUGAAAUCCCCGGGCUCAACCUGGGAACUGCAUUUGUGACUGUAGAGCUGGAGUGCGGCAGAGGGGGAUGGAAUUCCGCGUGUAGCAGUGAAAUGCGUAGAUAUGCGGAGGAACACCGAUGGCGAAGGCAAUCCCCUGGGCCUGCACUGACGCUCAUGCACGAAAGCGUGGGGAGCAAACAGGAUUAGAUACCCCUGUAGUCCCUGUCUCUUAUAC